This 29-nucleotide non-coding RNA is filed under the name Mus musculus (house mouse). Lineage: Eukaryota; Metazoa; Chordata; Mammalia; Rodentia; Muridae. The record is from RNAcentral.
UUUGCAGUGCCUUGCUGUGUUUCCCGGUC